CCUACGGGAGGCAGCAGUGGGGAAUAUUGCACAAUGGGCGCAAGCCUGAUGCAGCGACGCCGCGUGAGGGAUGACGGCCUUCGGGUUGUAAACCUCUUUCAGUAGGGAAGAAGCGAAAGUGACGGUACCUGCAGAAGAAGCGCCGGCUAACUACGUGCCAGCAGCCGCGGUAAUACGUAGGGCGCAAGCGUUAUCCGGAAUUAUUGGGCGUAAAGAGCUCGUAGGCGGUUUGUCGCGUCUGCCGUGAAAGUCCGGGGCUCAACUCCGGAUCUGCGGUGGGUACGGGCAGACUAGAGUGAUGUAGGGGAGACUGGAAUUCCUGGUGUAGCGGUGAAAUGCGCAGAUAUCAGGAGGAACACCGAUGGCGAAGGCAGGUCUCUGGGCAUUAACUGACGCUGAGGAGCGAAAGCAUGGGGAGCGAACAGGAUUAGAUACCCUGGUAGUCCAUGCCGUAAACGUUGGGCACUAGGUGUGGGGGACAUUCCACGUUUUCCGCGCCGUAGCUAACGCAUUAAGUGCCCCGCCUGGGGAGGUACGGCCGCGAGACUAAACUACAAGAAGUAGUAGCGNGNGAGNGCGACGACGACGACGAGGAGGAGG
This 600-nucleotide ribosomal RNA is filed under the name uncultured bacterium. RNAcentral describes it as "bacterial SSU rRNA". The stretch from base 1 to 525 matches the Rfam family "Bacterial small subunit ribosomal RNA", at positions 338 to 873 of the family's 1533-position model. The record is from RNAcentral.